RNAcentral lists this ribosomal RNA (463 nucleotides) under uncultured bacterium. RNAcentral describes it as "bacterial SSU rRNA". It matches the Rfam family "Bacterial small subunit ribosomal RNA", at positions 330 to 790 of the family's 1533-position model. The record is from RNAcentral.
UCCAGACUCCUACGGGAGGCAGCAGUGAGGAAUAUUGAUCAAUGGGCGGGAGCCUGAACCAGCCAAGUCGCGUGAGGGAAGACGGUCCUACGGAUUGUAAACCUCUUUUGCCGGGGAGCAACGGGGUCCUUGCGAGGGCCCGAUGAGAGUACCCGGAGAAAAAGCAUCGGCUAACUCCGUGCCAGCAGCCGCGGUAAUACGGAGGAUGCGAGCGUUAUCCGGAUUUAUUGGGUUUAAAGGGUGCGUAGGCGGGCUGUUAAGUCGGCGGUCAAAGGGCGGGGCUCAACCCCGGCCUGCCGUUGAAACUGGCGGCCUCGAGUGGGCGAGAAGUAUGCGGAAUGCGCGGUGUAGCGGUGAAAUGCAUAGAUAUCGCGCAGAACUCCGAUUGCGAAGGCAGCAUGCCGGCUCCACACUGACGCUGAGGCACGAAAGCGUGGGUAUCGAACAGGAUUAGAUACCCUAA